GGACGCAUUCGGCUUGGAACUCUCAACUAGGAGGCAUUUCAUGCUGGAUGUGCAGCUCAGUGACCGUUGUUAGACCCGAGGCAGACCCAUUUGAUUUUAGAUGCGGUGCACUUGGAAUCAGACCCACCAAGUUCUGCAGCCCAGAGGGCGGCUCGGAUGGGAACACCUGUAGCCGGUGCUCAGGGAUUAAGAAGCACUUGUUCCAGCUGUAGGCCCUGCCAAAUGCCUCCCCACCCCUGCAAUGGGAUCCGGCCCAUGCGGAGGGCGGGGGGGGCCCGCUUGCAUCACAUUCUUCCAGGCUUAACUGCUCAGCAACCAAAGUGGAAACAGCUUUCCCCACCUCCUGGCCGACCCAGUGUACAAUAGGGUCCACUGUCGCCACAGAGCAGGCCCACCGGUGCCGGACGCUGCCCCGCCUCCCCCCAGAGAGCUGUCGAGGACUUUCCUGAGGGUCUGAUGGGGGUGGGGGUGGGGGUGGGGGACAACGGUUCUUUAGCAGGAAGAAGAAUAACCUAAUAUGCACGUGCAAAAAAUGCAGGCUUGAAGGGCAAUGACAGUUUAGUUCACAUUUAUCUUGAAAAAAUGUUUUCUUUUUCGACCACCCUGCAGCAUAGAGAGUUCCCUGGUGCAGCAAAGCCAGAUCCUUAACCCUCUGUGCCAGGCUGAGGAUUGAACCCUGAUCAAACCUGCAUCCCCGCGCUCCAGAGACGCCACAGAUCCCGUUGAGCCACAGCAGCCACUGCCACUGGCUUUAAAUUGCUGCCUUGAUUCAGCGGAAUCCAUAGGAUGCAGGGUUAUGGGUGUGGCACAGGACUACAGGACAAGUGGUUCUGGAACUUCUGUUACAACUAUGACCUUGUCCCUUGCAGUGGGGCCCAGCUGGACAGGCAGACGUGUGGUCUCUUUAGCAGAGAUGUUUAGCACGACUUUAAUCCUCCGAGCAGGAGCUGGGGAGGCAGCCUGGAGCCGGCUUCACAAAGCGAGGCCAGGUGGGCUCAGAGUUGGUUGCAGGGAGGUGGGGCCCAGCUCAUGCUCCAGGCUUUCUAGCCUCUCAGCCAAGCCCCUGGAGGGGCCUUUUCAACGCCAAGUGACAAGUGUCAUCUAGUGUUUGCUUGGCAGUUUUUUCAUGCUCUACCCAUUGUUUCAAAAAUUCUUUCUAACAAGGGCCCUUUGCCACCCACCUUGUUUCGUUUUAAUUUCCUUUAUUCUGUCUCUGCUUCCUUCGAAGGGAAGGUACUAGGCUGUCCUGGAAGAGACUUGAGCCUGAUUUUUUCUCGCAAAACUCUGAUUGAGGAGAAACCAAGAAAAAUGUCAUUUAAAGCGACUUCAAGUAUUUUUCUGCCUUGUUAGAAAUGGCACAUUGAACUGACCUAUGGGAUAUACCCUUUCGUUCUGGGCAAAACUAAAACAAAAGAAAUUCUUUAUGGGGAGACCAGUGUAACUGCGAAAAGGAGACAUCCUUAUUCUUGGAGGAAAAGCUAAGUGGGGUGAAGCAACCCCAAACCAAGGGAUGAAUGUUCCGUGGGUAAUGCCACGGGCGAAGGCGGCACACACGGUGUCCCUCCUUUCUCUCGGUGUCAAGAACACGGAGUCGGGUGUGUCGGGGCUCAGCAGGCGCCCCAUGCACACGUGUCCAUUGACGCCCUGACUUCAGACGUUGUGGGGGUUCCUCUGUGUCGGAUUGGGUGGGUCUCUCUUUUUGGACGGUAAGAGGGUGGGUCUUUCCUUAAGCAAAUGCUAUGCGGUUCUCAAGUUGGUGUGACUUGAAUUCCUACAACAGAAUCAUUUCAAAUGCACCAGAGAAAAAGCAUUUAGAAAUCCCCCGGGAGCAUUCUGCAGUGAUUAGCUAGAAAGUUGAAAGUGAAAUAUGCUUUAUCUGUUUGCUUUAUUUUAUUUUUAAAAAGCAGACAACUCCUGUAAUUAGUAAGGAUAAGGAUAAGGACCACCCCUAUAGCUGAUACAGUUUCUCCCCCAAGAGGGUCCGUGUUGGUUAUGGAUUAUCGGAAAUGAUAUUACCUGACCCUAUUCAUUCCCCCAAAUAGUCCCGCUGAAGUCUUGCAGGAAAAUCGAUUCUGGAUGAAUGCACCUCUCGUUCACAGACGGGAAGAGGUCUUUGAGCCCUUCCAGAACAGAGAGGAGAAGGUUCUGGAACAAGACGGUGGGUUUUGGUUGGCCGUGUUCUCCAAAUAGCUCCUAUGCGUGAAGGGAGAGGCAGGGAGCAAGAGCAGGGGAAAGAGCUUGAAAGGAAAAUUACUCAGACCCCAGGGAAGAGAGGACAACUCAAGAUAAAGCCCCUGGACAGCUGCAGGCUCCACAUGCGGUUUAAAAUCAUCAUAUCCAUGCCUAGAAGACCUAAUGCAUCACUGAGGGAAUGCUCUAGAGUCUGAUAUAUGGCAGCUUUAUUUCAAAGAAGAUAAAGAAGAGGAGGAGAAGGAGGAGGGGAGGAAUUCCAGGAGCCAAAUCAAUAAAAUUGUUUGGUUACAUAGUACUUCCGGGUGCCCAACUCUUUGUAAGCCCUACUGGUUGUUUUCAGGCACAGAAGGACCUGCUCAUAACAGCUGUUGAUUACACGGGUCCAACACUCUGCAGGUCUGAUAAUGCUUUUCUGACAUCAAAGCAAUUGCAGGUGAUAACGGCCUGAUGGAUCACAACAGUGAAGCUCCUAAAUUCAGUGGGAAUCCAGUCCCUUUGUCUGUGGCAGAAAGGGUUUCUAUUGUGUCUGUCACUUAAAAACAUUCAGCUCACAAAGGCUACCGCUAACAAAAGGUCCGACAAGGUCGGUGAGAAAUAGAUGGAUUCAAUUCCUCUGAGCUCAGCCUCACAUGUGUUGGGCUGACAGGUAAAUAUUGGCUAAAGCGGACCUGAGAGCUGAGAGGAGGCAGACACACUGAAAAAACAAAAACCCUUUCCUCAUUCCUGGGCCAAAGGCCACCACCGUUUUAAUUUUUCUUAAUAACAAGAAGCUGUUGGAAGUCAAGCAGUGCCUGGCAAUGGCCAUGUGCUCCUUUCACCUCUGGGGGACAUGGGCUAAUUCUGUCACCCACCUCAGGGCGUGACAGGAACUCAGGAAAACAGGCAGCGAGAAAAAUUGGGGAGUAUGGCAGGGGGUCUCAUAAAGACGAAAGGGGCACAAUGGGCCUGAGGCGACCAGAGAGACGGACGAGGGUGAAUGUUAAGCCAGGAAUGUGGAAAGCCAGUUUGCAAACGGCCAUCCUGUGCUCACCCUUAACCAACCUGGCUUUACCGAUGCUCCUGCGAUACAGCGAACUGUCUUUCUCGCCUGCCUUUGACUGUGAAUUCACUUUAUGGGCGGCAGGAGGAACGGUAUUAAGUCGAUGCCAUCAGUGGCACAGUCACAUUUUACAGCAAAUUUCUCUCUGCAUCUCGUGGAAAUGAAGGCGUGACUCCCUGACUGCGUGAUGAACGCCGGCCGAUACCAGAGAGCAUCAUUCAGCCUGAGGGCCAAGUUCAGCGGAUGGUAAUGACAGCUAACAUCUACUGCGUGCUCCCCGUGUACUCUAAGCUGCUGCGUGGACCUGGCCAGCCCUCACCUGGUCCGUGGGGUCGAGGGGCCGAGGCGGGUUCUCCUCCAUGACCUUGCCCGUUGGCGUCCACACCCGGGCGCCGGGGCCCAUUCAGCCCCCUGUUCCUUGUCUAAGUGCUCUUCCGGCGGCACCGUCCCAGCUGCAUCCCCUCUGAUAUUCUUGAAGCCAGUGCAAGUCUCAGCUGGGUCGGCGAUGGGUGCUCACUUAGGACAGAUGCAGACACCGAGCUCUCCCAGAAAGUGGACCAGGCGGUUCAGACCCAUGGUUUUAGGCAAAUGAACAAGAAGCUUCAUGAGCAAAGUUGGGGAGUCAGAGCUACACCAGGGGGAGAGGAGGAGAUGCUUUCACAGGUCACCCAGGACUGCUGCAGGCUGGAUGGAAAAGCAUUUCUCACCCAGGAGGUAGACGGGGGCACUGUGCCAGGAGGAGGUGAAGCCUGGCCGGGCUCUGGGCUCUGGAUGCCUGGGGGGGGGGGCUAUGGGGAGUCCCAGGCCCAAGGUGGGGUCUGCGCUGUUGGUGAGCGAGGGGUGUACAGGUGCAAAGGGCCCCUGGCUCCCUUUGCCCCCAGGUCCUACUUUCACUUCUGUGGCAUCUUUUUAUCAUUGGCAUGUGAAUUAGCUAUAUCUACACAGCAGUCGCUUGAGUGGCUGCUGCGGUGGGGUUUGAUCCCAGGCCCGCCACGUGGGCAAGGCCACCCCUCAUGCUAUGACCCGCAUGCUGUGGGGGGUGUGGGCACCCCCCUUCCCCAUUUCCUCAAAACGGGUCCUGGGAAGGACCCACCCUCCCGCUUUGCCACCCCGGGCUGCUUCAGUUCCGAUGCUGGAGCCGAGCCAGAGACGGUGGCGGUGCAGAGGUGUGAGGACCUGCCCAGACCUUGCCCAGCGUGGGUGCCAAUCGCAAACGGCCCAGCCUGGUUCUGCCGGGCUGAGGAGAAGGAGCCGGAAUCCGUGCUGGAAAGGGUGUGAGCUAAACGCCACGCCCGGCCUCCUGGGCCCAACCGGAACGUCCAUUCCUCCGCUUUCACGGCCUCUUUCUCAGCUCUGGUCGGGCUCCUGUCUGUCCUGCAGGGAACUUCGUUUAGAAACUUCCUCGUCUUACCCCAGUGGGCCUGGGGCGCUGGGCAGGUGAGGUGAGGCCACAGAAAGGGAGCCCCUCUUUCAGCCCUGCCUGCCCCAGGCCCCCAUGGGGCGCUUCCCUGCACACGGGGCCUGGCUGGGUCGGGUCCCAGGCAGGUCCUGUGGGGAAGCUGGACUCUUUCAGGAGCGACUUGUGAGGCGUCAGUGGAGGUAAACCUUUGCAUCACUGGUCGCAGAGGGCGAGCCAGAGACUGAUCUGACCCCUGACCCCUUCCUGGGUUGGGGUCACAGGGAGUUGCCUGGGUCUAAACUCAGUCCUCGGGAGUCUGAGUUCAAACUGCAGAUUCUUCGAUCAGUUUCCCAGCCAGGAGCACCCUGAGGAGAGGAGCGCGCAUGCCAAGAGAGCUGAGCCUGGAGGCUUAGAGGCAGAAACGCUGCCCUUUGAUAGCUUCGGGGCCUUGAAAAAGUCCCGGAAUCCCCCGCCUCAGUUUCCUCAAUGGCCAACUGAGGAUAAGAAGUCACCAUGGGAGUUCCCGUCGUGGCGCAGCAGAAACGAAUCUGACUGGGAACCAUGAGGUUGCGGGUUCGAUCCCUGGCCUCGAUCAGUGGCUUAAGGAUCCAGCGUUGCUGUGAGCUGUGGGGUAGGACGGUGGCUACAGCUCCGAUUGAAGCCCUAGCCUGGGAACCUCCAUAUGCCGCAGGAUCACAACACCCUCCUCGGCCAUCACGAAGCUGCGAUGGGCUUCCUUCCACUCAGGUGCAAGCAGAAUGUUUGAGAGGUCUGUCUGUAAGCGCAUCAGCAGGCAAAUGUAUACACAUCACGACCUUCAGCUCAGUUUUGCAUCUUCGCGUGGAACUAAAAUAGAGGCCACUCUUCAAGAUAAAAACAGACUCCUGACUGCUAGCGGGUAGUGUUUGAAGACUUUUCUGGCUGUCGGACACCAGCAAGAAAGUGGCCAGGACUCCUGACUCUUUGAAAGAAGGAGUA
This 5609-nucleotide long non-coding RNA is filed under the name Sus scrofa (pig). RNAcentral's name for it is "lncRNA (ENSSSCG00035038192.1)". The record is from RNAcentral. Lineage: Eukaryota; Metazoa; Chordata; Mammalia; Artiodactyla; Suidae.